GAUGGCGCUUAGACGAGUUUUUUAUGUUGCGAAGGUUGUUCUGGCGAAGAUCUGGCUGUGGUUUGCUUGCGGAGAGGCGGCGGAGUUAUAAUUAAAAGUAAAGAGUUCAGUUGUCAGCUGUGGACCUGUUGGCUUUGAAGAAUGUGAGAUUGAAGAAUGUGUUACAUCACUUUGCAGCAAUUGUGGACAGAGCUAAGAUGGCAGUUACUACAAGUACUGAAGGGAAAUGUGGACGAGAGGGAUUAAAAAUGCAGGUGAGAAUAGAAUGGACAAACAGAUGUCAUGUUGGUCAGAAUGAGGUUGACCGAUGCAAAGCAAAACAAGAACCAUAAGAUGUAAAAUAUGGACGAGGAGGGAUGAUGAUUCACAAGACUGCUUUGAAGAUACAGGAGAGAAUGGAAUGGACAAAUAGAUGAUAUGCUGGCCAGAAUGACACUGACAGAUGAAAAGCGUAAACAAGAACAAUAAGAUGGUGGGUAUGUAUAGUUGCAAAUUAACAGAGUAUUUUCUAACUUCUAAAUAUUUCAGGGAAAGGUGGAUGAAAGAGAUUAAUGAAGCAGGAGAAAAUAGAAUGGACAAACAGAUGACAUGCUGGUCAGAAUGAGACUGACAGAUGAAAAGCCUAUACAAGAACAAUCAGAUGGUGGGUAUAAAAAGUUGCAAAUUAUGGGAGUAUUUUCUAACUUCAAAAUAUUUCUGGGUCAUGUGAAGGAGAGAGAUCAACAAUGCAGGUGAGAAUGGAAUGGACAAAAGGACGACAUGCUGGUCAAAUAAAAUAAAGUUGACUGAACAAACCAUGAGAUGGUAGGUAUAUAUAAUUGCAAAUUUAGGGAGUAUUAUCUAACUUCUUAAUAUAUUGUAUAUCAGGGAUUCUAAAUUCUUAAUAUUUCAGAGAAAUUUGGACGAGUAGGGAUGAUGAUUUGCAUGAUUCCUUUGACAAUACAGGAGAGAAUCGAAUGGACAAACAGAUGACAGUCUGGUCAGAAUGAAGUUUACAGAUGAAAAUGUGAACAAGAACCAUGAGAAGGUGGGUUUAUGUAUUUGCAAUUUAAGUGAAUAUUUUCUAACUUCUAAAUAUUUCAGGGAAAUGUGGACGAGAGAGAUUAACAAAGCAGGAGAGAAUGGAAUUGACAAAUAGAUGACAUGCUGGUCAGAAUGAGGUUGACAGAUGAAAAGCAUAAACAAGAACCAUGAGGGAAAUGAGGACGAGUAGGGUUAUUGAUGUCAUGAUUCCAUUUACAGUACAGGAGAGAAUGGAAUGGAAUGGACAAGCAAAUUACAUGCUGGUCAGAAUGAAGCUGGCAGAUGAAAAUGUGAACAAGAACCAUGAGAUGGUGGGGAAAUGUAGACGAGUAGGGACAAUGAUAUGCAUGAUUCCUUCGACAGUACAGAAGAGAAUGGAAUGGAUAAACAGGUGACAUGCUGGUCAGAAUAAAUCUGGCAGAUGAAAACAGUCAACAAGAACAAUGAGAUGGUGGGAUUCCUUUGACAGUACAGGAGAGAAUUGAAUGGACAAACAGAUGACAGUCUGGUCAGAAUGAAGCUGGCAGAUGAAAAUGUGAACAAGAACCAUGAGAUGGUGGGUAUGUAUAAUUGCAAAUUUAGGGAGUAUU
Molecule: long non-coding RNA, 1613 nt
Organism: Mercenaria mercenaria
Lineage: Eukaryota; Metazoa; Mollusca; Bivalvia; Venerida; Veneridae
Exons: 7
Source: RefSeq, a predicted model, not a curated record